CCUACGGGGGGCUGCAGUGGGGAAUAUUGGACAAUGGGGGGAACCCUGAUCCAGCCAUGCCGCGUGUGUGAAGAAGGCCCUCGGGUUGUAAAGCACUUUCAGUGAGGAAGAACGCCUGGUGGUUAAUACCCAUCAGGAAAGACAUCACUCACAGAAGAAGCACCGGCUAACUCCGUGCCAGCAGCCGCGGUAAUACGGAGGGUGCGAGGGUUAAUCGGAAUUACUGGGCGUAAAGCGCGCGUAGGUGGCUUGAUAAGCCGGUUGUGAAAGCCCCGGGCUCAACCUGGGAACGGCAUCCGGAACUGUCAAGCUAGAGUGCAGGAGAGGAAGGUAGAAUUCCCGGUGUAGCGGUGAAAUGCGUAGAGAUCGGGAGGAAUACCAGUGGCGAAGGCGGCCUUCUGGACUGACACUGACACUGAGGUGCGAAAGCGUGGGUAGCAAACAGGAUUAGAUACCCUGGUAGUC
This 465-nucleotide ribosomal RNA is filed under the name Vreelandella stevensii. RNAcentral's name for it is "partial 16S ribosomal RNA". It matches the Rfam family "Bacterial small subunit ribosomal RNA", at positions 338 to 795 of the family's 1533-position model. The record is from RNAcentral. Lineage: Bacteria; Pseudomonadati; Pseudomonadota; Gammaproteobacteria; Oceanospirillales; Halomonadaceae.